Molecule: non-coding RNA, 371 nt
Organism: Paramisgurnus dabryanus
Lineage: Eukaryota; Metazoa; Chordata; Actinopteri; Cypriniformes; Cobitidae
Source: RefSeq, a predicted model, not a curated record
UUAAAAGUAACACAAUGCACCUUUAACAUAUACACCGUUCGAUUCGCCUUGUGAAAAUGACUACAUUUCCCAUAAUGCCCCUAGUGCACUAAAGGACACGGUGGUCACAAUAAUCAAACUGCCGGUGUAACAUGAUGGACUACGUGAGAUCUUUGUUUUGCCUUGUGGAGCUGUAUAUAAUAAAGCGAGACAUUACUAACUGAGAACAGCAGAGACAGAGGCAUGAGGGGAUCAAAGCACAUAAUGAAGAGGACUGGACAUGCUUUACGAGUCCAUAAACAAAAUAUCUCGGUCCUCACCCGGGCACUGCCAUAACGAUUUACGAUUCAGAGUGGAAGCAUCUCUCAGGAAUGCAACUUUAAGGACUACGA